AUACGUAGGUGGCAAGCGUUGUCCGGAAUUAUUGGGCGUAAAGCGCGCGCAGGUGGUUCCUUAAGUCUGACGUGAAAGCCCCCGGCUCAACCGGGGAGGGUCAUUGGAAACUGGGGAACUUGAGUGCAGAAGAGGAUAGUGGAAUUCCAAGUGUAGCGGUGAAAUGCGUAGAGAUUUGGAGGAACACCAGGGGCGAAGGCGACUGUCUGGUCUGUAACUGACACUGAGGCGCGAAAGCGUGGGGAGCAAACAGGAUUAGAUACCCUGGUAGUCCACGCCGUAAACGAUGAGUGCUAAGUGUUGGGGGGUUUCCGCCCCUCAGUGCUGCAGCUAACGCAUUAAGCACUCCGCCUGGGGAGUACGGUCGCAAGACUGAAACUCAAAUGAAUUGGCGGGG
This 397-nucleotide ribosomal RNA is filed under the name uncultured bacterium. RNAcentral describes it as "partial 16S ribosomal RNA". It matches the Rfam family "Bacterial small subunit ribosomal RNA", at positions 523 to 918 of the family's 1533-position model. The record is from RNAcentral.